GAUGAAGAACGUAGCGAAAUGCGAUACUUGGUGUGAAUUGCAGAAUCCCGUGAACCAUCGAGUCUUUGAACGCAAGUUGCGCCCGAAGCCAUUAGGCCGAGGGCACGCCUGCCUGGGCGUCACACGUCGUUGCCCCCCAUCUACUCCUUCGGGAUUGCGGGGGGCGGAUGAUGGCCUCCCGUGCGCCUCGUCGCGCGGUUGGCAUAAAUGCCAAGUCCUCGGCGACGCACGCCACGACAAUCGGUGGUUGCGAAACCUCGGUUGCCCGUCGUGUGCGGUCGUCGCGCAUCGAGGGCUCGAAAAAAUGCUCGGCUCCGGCUGGGCUUUCAACGCGACCCCAGGUCAGGCGGGGUUACCCGCUGAAUUUAAGCAUAUCAAUAAGCGGAGGA
This 389-nucleotide unclassified non-coding RNA is filed under the name soil metagenome. Its description in RNAcentral is "partial contains 5.8S ribosomal RNA, internal transcribed spacer 2, and large subunit ribosomal RNA". The stretch from base 1 to 122 matches the Rfam family "5.8S ribosomal RNA", at positions 35 to 154 of the family's 154-position model. The record is from RNAcentral.